RNAcentral lists this ribosomal RNA (628 nucleotides) under Morganella morganii. Its description in RNAcentral is "partial 23S ribosomal RNA". It matches the Rfam family "Bacterial large subunit ribosomal RNA", at positions 611 to 1238 of the family's 2925-position model. The record is from RNAcentral. Lineage: Bacteria; Pseudomonadati; Pseudomonadota; Gammaproteobacteria; Enterobacterales; Morganellaceae.
UAUAAUGGGUCAGCGACUUAUAUUCUGUAGCAAGGUUAACCGAAUAGGGGAGCCGCAGGGAAACCGAGUCUUAACUGGGCGAAUUAGUUGCAGGGUAUAGACCCGAAACCCGGUGAUCUAGCCAUGGGCAGGUUGAAGGUUGGGUAACACUAACUGGAGGACCGAACCGACUAAUGUUGAAAAAUUAGCGGAUGACUUGUGGCUGGGGGUGAAAGGCCAAUCAAACCGGGAGAUAGCUGGUUCUCCCCGAAAGCUAUUUAGGUAGCGCCUCGUGAAUUCAUCUCCGGGGGUAGAGCACUGUUUCGGCUAGGGGGUCAUCCCGACUUACCAACCCGAUGCAAACUGCGAAUACCGGAGAAUGUUAUCACGGGAGACACACGGCGGGUGCUAACGUUCGUCGUGAAGAGGGAAACAACCCAGACCGCCGGCUAAGGUCCCAAAGUCAUAAUUAAGUGGGAAACGAAGUGGGAAGGCUCAGACAGCCAGGAUGUUGGCUUAGAAGCAGCCAUCAUUUAAAGAAAGCGUAAUAGCUCACUGGUCGAGUCGGCCUGCGCGGAAGAUGUAACGGGGCUAAAUUAUGCACCGAAGCCGCGGCAGCGAUAUGUAAAUAUUGUUGGGUAGGGGAGCG